UACUGUCUCGGAAGUAUACACUAC
This 24-nucleotide non-coding RNA is filed under the name Arabidopsis thaliana (thale cress). The record is from RNAcentral. Lineage: Eukaryota; Viridiplantae; Streptophyta; Magnoliopsida; Brassicales; Brassicaceae.